AUUGAACGCUGGCGGCAUGCUUUACACAUGCAAGUCGAACGGUAACAGGCCUUCGGGUGCUGACGAGUGGCGAACGGGUGAGUAAUGCAUCGGAACGUGCCCAAUCGUGGGGGAUAACGUAGCGAAAGUUACGCUAAUACCGCAUAAGCCCUGAGGGGGAAAGCAGGGGAUCGCAAGACCUUGCGCGAAUGGAGCGGCCGAUAUCAGAUUAGGUUGUUGGUGAGGUAAAGGCUCACCAAGCCGACGAUCUGUAGCUGGUCUGAGAGGACGACCAGCCACACUGGGACUGAGACACGGCCCAGACUCCUACGGGAGGCAGCAGUGGGGAAUUUUGGACAAUGGACGCAAGUCUGAUCCAGCAAUGCCGCGUGCAGGACGAAGGCCCUGGUUGUAACUAGCUUUGUACGGAACGAAAGACCUUCUUCUAAUACAGGAGGUACGAUGACGGUACCGUAAGAAUAAGACACCGGCGUAACUA
This 478-nucleotide ribosomal RNA is filed under the name uncultured bacterium. Its description in RNAcentral is "bacterial SSU rRNA". It matches the Rfam family "Bacterial small subunit ribosomal RNA", at positions 30 to 503 of the family's 1533-position model. The record is from RNAcentral.